This 254-nucleotide ribosomal RNA is filed under the name uncultured bacterium. RNAcentral describes it as "partial 16S ribosomal RNA". It matches the Rfam family "Bacterial small subunit ribosomal RNA", at positions 524 to 776 of the family's 1533-position model. The record is from RNAcentral.
CACGUAGGGACCAAGCGUUGUCCGGAUUCAUUGGGCGUAAAGAGCUCGUAGGCGGUUCGAUAAGUCGGGUGUGAAACCUCCAGGCUCAACCUGGAGACGCCACCCGAUACUGUCGUGACUAGAGUCCAGUAGGGGAGCGUGGAAUUCCUGGUGUAGCGGUGAAAUGCGCAGAUAUCGGGAGGAACACCGGUGGCGAAGGCGGUUCUCUGGGCCUGUACUGACGCUGAGGAGCGAAAGCGUGGGGAGCGAACAGG